UACAGAGACCUCAAGCGUUAUCCGGAUUUAUUGGGCGUAAAGCGCAGGUAGGCGGACAUGUUAGUCGGAUGUCAAAUAUCCCGGCUCAACCGGGAAAGGGCAUUCGAAACGGCAUGUCUCGAGGCAGUGAGAGAUCGGUGGAAUUCACGGUGUAGUAGUGAAAUGCGUUGAUAUCGUGAGGAACACCCAAGGCGAAGGCAACCGAUUGGCACUGAUCUGACGCUGAGCUGCGAAAGCGUGGGGAGCGAAUGGG
This 253-nucleotide ribosomal RNA is filed under the name uncultured bacterium. RNAcentral describes it as "partial 16S ribosomal RNA". It matches the Rfam family "Bacterial small subunit ribosomal RNA", at positions 524 to 776 of the family's 1533-position model. The record is from RNAcentral.